AGCGUGCUUGGGCGAGAGUAGUA
This 23-nucleotide non-coding RNA is filed under the name Arabidopsis thaliana (thale cress). Lineage: Eukaryota; Viridiplantae; Streptophyta; Magnoliopsida; Brassicales; Brassicaceae. The record is from RNAcentral.